AGUAAAUCACUCCUUAGGGUAAUUUGAGUGAUAUCAGUGAUUAAGCCUAGACUUAGCAGUAAGAACAACUAGAUGAAAAAUUAUUUUAAUUCCCUAACAGUUAUUCAUUUCAACAAUACAUAAAUCAAACUUUAAAGAACCCUAAAAUCUGAUAAUGAGACUACUCAUACAUAUUAAUAAGAAACAUUAUGAUGGUCUGAAUAAUACUGCAAUAUAAUAAAAUGAAAAGCAAACAAAGCAGAGUAAGAAAC
RNAcentral lists this long non-coding RNA (251 nucleotides) under Brassica napus (rape). Its description in RNAcentral is "long non-coding RNA (BNAP_LNC025383)". Lineage: Eukaryota; Viridiplantae; Streptophyta; Magnoliopsida; Brassicales; Brassicaceae. The record is from RNAcentral.